This 119-nucleotide ribosomal RNA is filed under the name Pteropus alecto (black flying fox). Lineage: Eukaryota; Metazoa; Chordata; Mammalia; Chiroptera; Pteropodidae. The record is from RNAcentral.
GUCUACGGGCAUGCCACCAUGAACAAGCCUGAUCCUGUCUGAUCUCGAAAGCUAAGCAGGGUCAGGCCUGGUUAGUACUUGGAUGGGAGACCACCUAGGAAGACCAGGUACUAUAGGCG